AUGUCGACGACACGCCCGGCCGCUACGACCGAGGAGGAGGAGAUGGUCAUGGCCGCCUCUGGAGCGGUCAAUGCCGCGCCACCGGACGCAGACGAUCGGGAGCAGCAGAAGAAGGCGCAUGCGAGGAACAAGAAGAAGCGGCGGAGGGUGUUGAGCGAGGAGGAGCUGGCUGUGCAAAGGUCCGUGCUCUGCUAGGCCCGCCGCGGCGAGGCGGGCGACGAGGAGGAGGCGGACUGCGGGCACCUGUUGCCGGCUGGGAGGCGGCGGCGGCGCGUGGCGGUGGAGCUGCAUGCGCACUCGGCGAGCGACGGCUCGCUCUUGCCCGCGGCACUCGUGGAGCACGCGCACCGCAAUGGAGUGAAGGUGCUCGCACUAACUGAUCAUGACACCAUCGCCGGUGUCCCGGAGGCGAUGGAGUCUGCAAAGGAAUUUUCCAUCAGGAUCGUCCCAGGUGUUGAGAUAAGUGCCCUUUAUUCGCAUGAACCUGUUCAUAUUCUCGCAUACUACUGUUGGGGCCCUGGGAAAUCUCAGGAACUAGAGAAGGUUCUAUCUACCAUCAGGGAGGGCCGCUAUACACGUGCCAAGGAGAUGCUAUCGAAACUUAGGAACCUCGGCAUGCCAUUGAACUUUGAAGAUGUGUCUAAUAUAGCAGGGAAUGGAGUGGCUCCAGGGCGGGUGCACGUGGCGCGUGCCAUGGUUGCAGCUGGAUAUGUUGAUAAUUUUUUGCAAGCUUUCAGCAGGUACUUUUACGAUGGAGGGCCUGCUUAUGCUAUUGGCAGUGAGCCAGUUGGGUCCGUUGUGCAGCUAAUAUGUAGAACUGGAGGCAUAGCUAUUUUGGCUCAUCCAUGGGCAUUGAAAAAUCAUGUUGUUGUGAUAAAGGAUUUGAAAGCUGAUGGUCUGCAUGCUAUUGAGGUCUAUCGAAGCGAUGGGAAACUAUCUGGUUUGAGUGAUCUGGCUGAUACUUAUGAGCUUCUAAAGCUUGGUGGAUCAGAUUACAUUGGACGAGAUGACAAGGAAGAAGCUGAUAUAGGAAUUGUUGAUCUUCCGGUCUUGGCGUUUUUUAGAUUUCUUGAGGUAGCUCAACCAAUUUGGUGCAAUGCUAUCAAGGAAAUAUUUGCAAACGCCACUGAAAGAUCAUAAGUAUAUAUGGCCCAAAAGGAUGUCAUCGGACUAUCUCUAGAUGAUUUAUGUAAUAUGUGUCUUUCUUAUCCAGAACUGGAGGAAACAGAUGAUUCUGAGAUUGAGGUCCUCCGGGCGAAACUUGCAGACAGACAGCAAUUCUGUUCAUAA
RNAcentral lists this ribosomal RNA (1290 nucleotides) under Triticum aestivum (bread wheat). RNAcentral describes it as "partial small subunit ribosomal RNA". The record is from RNAcentral. Lineage: Eukaryota; Viridiplantae; Streptophyta; Magnoliopsida; Poales; Poaceae.